CCAGAACCUGGGGAUAUGUUAUACUAUAUGGUAAAGGAGAACGACGCUGCAAAUAGAAUUAAGGUUGCUAAUCAGCUCACGAUGAGACAGGGAGAGACGCCGGAUUCCCCAGAUUAGCACUGGUGAUUUUUUAGUUGCCUAUUUCCUGCAGGAGAAAGGUCUGAGGAAGUGGGCAGUGUUUCACGUCUGUCACCAAGAUCGUUACAUCCCCCGCUGCCUGCCUGCGUCACCGAGGGACGUCUUCUCACCAGGCUCCUGCCCCAGUUGUUCUCAUCAGCACCCAGUGGAAAGGAAACGCCCAGGUGAAUGUGAACUAUUGUCAUAUCAAGGGUCCCGCUUAUUCUAAGCUAAUACUUUAGACCACACUUGGCCCUUAAAGAAUUCUUUAAAAUUUUAGCUGAUUUCUGUUGGGAGACGAUUCUUCACGGGCCUCUCAUGUUCAUGCAUGACUUAUGCUCUUAAGAGGCACUGACUAUCUUGGUUCUGGACUGCUUUUGCAGCCUAGGAAGAGAGAUAGCA
Molecule: long non-coding RNA, 519 nt
Organism: Camelus dromedarius (Arabian camel)
Lineage: Eukaryota; Metazoa; Chordata; Mammalia; Artiodactyla; Camelidae
Exons: 3
Source: RefSeq, a predicted model, not a curated record